AUAAUCAUCGCGACUAGGGUUUGUGUUUCCGCCACUUCUCAGAGCCCUAAUCGCAGAGUUUUCAAGCAGAAGCGAAAAUGCCGUCGCACAAGACAUUCAUGAUAAAGAAGAAGCUGGCGAAGAAGCAGAGGCAGAACAGGCCAAUCCCCUACUGGAUCCGUAUGCGCACCGACAAUACGAUCCGCUACAACGCCAAGCGUCGCCAUUGGCGCCGUACCAAGCUCGGGUUUUGAGGAUACUGUCCACUUACUCGAUGCCAAAGCCUUAGAAAGCUUGUUCAUUUCCCUGUCAUUUUUGUUGAGUUUCGGAACUUGGUUUUUAGUUUUGAGUCAUUACUAUUGCCAUUACAGUGAUUAUUAACCUGUAAGACUUGAGAUUCAAUAUGAUGUUUGCUUCUUAAUUGGUAUUCAGUAAUCCAUUUUUGGUU
Long non-coding RNA from Ipomoea nil (Japanese morning glory), 427 nucleotides. RefSeq lists it as uncharacterized. Lineage: Eukaryota; Viridiplantae; Streptophyta; Magnoliopsida; Solanales; Convolvulaceae. The record is from RefSeq and is a predicted model, not a curated record. The transcript has 2 exons.